GAUGAACGCUGGCGGCGUGCCUAACACAUGCAAGUCGAGCGAUUCUCUUCGGAGAAGAGCGGCGGACGGGUGAGUAACGCGUGGGUAACCUGCCCUGUACACACGGAUAACAUACCGAAAGGUAUGCUAAUACGGGAUAACAUAAGAAAUUCGCAUGUUUUUCUUAUCAAAGCUCCGGCGGUACAGGAUGGACCCGCGUCUGAUUAGCUAGUUGGUGAGGUAACGGCUCACCAAGGCGACGAUCAGUAGCCGACCUGAGAGGGUGAUCGGCCACAUUGGAACUGAGACACGGUCCAAACUCCUACGGGAGGCAGCAGUGGGGAAUAUUGCACAAUGGGCGAAAGCCUGAUGCAGCAACGCCGCGUGAGCGAUGAAGGCCUUCGGGUCGUAAGCUCUGUCCUCAAGGAAGAUAAUGACGGUACUUGAGGAGGAAGCCCGGCUAACUACGUG
This 450-nucleotide ribosomal RNA is filed under the name uncultured bacterium. RNAcentral describes it as "bacterial SSU rRNA". It matches the Rfam family "Bacterial small subunit ribosomal RNA", at positions 28 to 507 of the family's 1533-position model. The record is from RNAcentral.